This 1251-nucleotide ribosomal RNA is filed under the name Triticum aestivum (bread wheat). RNAcentral's name for it is "partial small subunit ribosomal RNA". Lineage: Eukaryota; Viridiplantae; Streptophyta; Magnoliopsida; Poales; Poaceae. The record is from RNAcentral.
AUGGAGGGGAGUGGCGGGUCCGCGUCGCUGCCGCCGUUCCUCACCAAGACGUACGAGAUGGUGGACGAGCCGGCCACGGACGCGGUGGUGGCGUGGACGCCGUCCGGCACCAGCUUCGUCCACAACAACUUCUCCAGCUUCGUGCGCCAGCUCAACACCUACGGCUUUAGGAAGGUAGAUCCAGAACAAUGGGAAUUUGCAAAUGAAGAAUUCCUACGAGAUCAGCGGCAUCGGUUGAAAAAUAUCCAUAGACGCAAGCCAAUAUUCAGCCAUUCAUCACACACUCAGGGUGCCGGACCAUUAGCUGAUAGUGAAAGGAGGGACUAUGAGGAGGAAAUUGAGAGGCUCAAGUGUGAUAAUGCAUCACUAAAUUUACAGCUUGAGAGGAAGAAAACUGAUAUGGAGAGUAAAAUGAAGGCUUUGGAAGACAAACUAUUUGCUAUUGAGGAUCAGCAGAAAAAUCUUAUAUCUUAUGUCAGAGAAAUUGUGAAUGCACCUGGAUUUCUUUCUAGCUUCGUAGAACAAUCUGAUCAUCAUGGAAAGAAGAGGAGACUGCCUAAACCAAUUUCAUUCCAUGAUGAUGCUUGUACUCAGGGGAACCAGAUUAUGCAUUGUGACUUGGUCAACUCACCAGCUCAUGAACUUUUUAGGUCAUCAUUUGACAAAAUGGAAUCAUCCUUAAAUUCCUUGGAGAAUUUCUUCAAAGAAGCGAGUGAGGCAUUUGGUAAUGAUGUUUCAUCUGAUGGUGAUGUCCCAGGUCAUUCUUCAGCUGUUGUUCUUACAGAGCUCCAUUCAACUGGGGAGAGUGACCCCCACGCGCAAUCACCUCCGUCCAUGAUGCAUACUUGUUCAGCUGGUGUAGGAGAUUCACACUCUUCUCGUGAUAUAGCAGAGUCCGCCAGCUGUCCAGAGAGUCCUCUGCUUCCCCAAGCUCAUUCUCGUGCAGAUUCACGAGCUAAGGUCUCCGAGAUAGAUGUCAAUUUAGAACCUGCUGUUACAGAAAAUGGUCCAUCGAGAGAUCAACAACCCACCCAAGACCUUCCUGCUGACGCAAAUGAUGGAUUUUGGCAGCAGUUUCUUACCGAGCAGCCUGGGUUGACCCAUGCACACCAGGAGGCCCAAUCAGAACGGCGAGACAGAGAAGCAAAUCAAACAACAGCAGGAGACCGCGGAAGUUUUUGGUUGGACAAGAGCAGCAUCGAACAGAUGACAAAAAAACUGGGGCAUCUCACCUCAGCUGAGAAAACCUGA